This 271-nucleotide long non-coding RNA is filed under the name Panax ginseng (ginseng). RNAcentral's name for it is "long non-coding RNA (PGIN_LNC001234)". The record is from RNAcentral. Lineage: Eukaryota; Viridiplantae; Streptophyta; Magnoliopsida; Apiales; Araliaceae.
CUUCCUUCUCUAUCUGCCUAGAGAACCUCUCUUUCCCUACAAGGCACUAGAAGGUCGACCCCACUUUCCACACUAUGUUGACUUUACUCCUGAGCCCAGUCAUUCCCCGCCACUCUUUCACACAGCAUCGAGGGCUUUUUCAUAAGAAGCAGCACUCUAUUGUCCACUUCGAGUAGUUUGCCACGGGUCAUUUGCCAGCGAUGGAUAAGCUUUCUCGAUUGAAUCAUUCCCGGACAGAAUGAACGGGGAAAAGCGAAGACGCAUGAUGAAC